Hibiscus syriacus is the source of this 559-nucleotide long non-coding RNA. RefSeq lists it as uncharacterized. Lineage: Eukaryota; Viridiplantae; Streptophyta; Magnoliopsida; Malvales; Malvaceae. The transcript has 2 exons. The record is from RefSeq and is a predicted model, not a curated record.
AGACGUAAGCACAAUUGGCUGAACUCCGUUAUCAAUUUCGGGGUGGCCACCGGCUUGAGCAUUAGCUCUGCCAAUGCGUUGUGUGUUGCCUUGUCCGCCACCCUCAGCUCCUCCUCCGCCUCCAUGAAAGACUCCGUGGUAGUUAGGGAUGAGCACUCCAGUCCCUAGCGACGGCGGAAGGUUCCCGACGUACCAAAACAGGUUGUUUCCUAGCGGAAUGAAAACGGGAAUAGGAGUUCUGACUCCAUGACUAGCAAAAACACCUGCUCCGUAGAUGGCCAUUGAAGAAGCAAAAAUGGAUCUUGAUAAACAAAAUCAAAUCUUUUAUAUGAUUCAUUUUCCAUCGCUCGAGGAUGAUGAAGGAUGACAUUCGCGCGCAUAUUUUUUUUUCGUUUGCAAACUACUACUUUGAACUCUAUCGUAUUCGAAGAUCAUUGUAGCGCAUCUGAGGGGGGAAUAAAAAAUUCAAAUGCUGAAAGUAAAAGAAUAUAAGAAGAAAGUGUAUAGAACGAACCAAUGAGGAAAAAAUUGACGGUUGAAUUCAAAUUUUUUAUUUACA